GAUUGUAGUCUGCAACCCGACUACAUGAAGCCGGAAUCGCUAGUAAUCGCGGAUCAGAAUGCCGCGGUGAAUACGUUCCCGGGUCUUGUACACACCGCCCGUCACACCAUGGGAGUCGGAAAUGCCCGAAGCCGGUGACCCAACCCGAAAGGGAGGAGCUGCCGAAGGUGGAGCCGGUAACUGGGGUGAAGUCGUAACAAGGUACC
Molecule: ribosomal RNA, 206 nt
Filed under: uncultured bacterium
Lineage: Bacteria
Description: partial 16S ribosomal RNA
Rfam family: Bacterial small subunit ribosomal RNA
Source: RNAcentral